RNAcentral lists this long non-coding RNA (478 nucleotides) under Homo sapiens (human). RNAcentral's name for it is "HSALNT0323287". Lineage: Eukaryota; Metazoa; Chordata; Mammalia; Primates; Hominidae. The record is from RNAcentral.
CAUGAUAUGGCUCUAAUGACUGGAGGAACACCAGUGUCCUUUACCUUGAGCCAAUUCAGAUCUAUUCCCUGUGGGCUUGCCUGCCGUGGCUGCUAAAAGGGGGGCUCCAAGCCGAGAGAGGAAACCCUACCUGUGGCAGAAAACAGUUGGUUAUAUUAGGAGGCUGGAGGAGGCAGUGUCUGAUUUACACAGGGCCCAGGGGAUUGGAUUGACAAGCCCUCCCUGAAUUAUCCAUCAUGAAAACAAGGAGAAUAAACACAGAGUAAGACAACAUGGGAGAGUAGAAGAGAGAAAACCAAAUAAGGAAUCUCAAAUGCAGCCUCUCCCUUGCCUCCCAACCAUUGUGAACACAGAUCUCAAUGAACAUUUUGGUGAAUAAGUACCUACUCUAUGUGAACAGAAAGGGAAAGGACAAAAGGAAAGAAAGACAAAAAGGAAAUAUGUUUGCUGUCCUCAAGGAAUUUCCAUUUAGCGGGCA